CAAAGGAGACAUUUUUUGACUCAGUUGAACCAAAAUUUUUGAAGCAUUAGUACAUUCGUUGGAGGAUUCUCCGUGGGAAUUUUUGUGUGCACGCACACAAAUACCACAAAAUUACGCCUUUUAUAGUUGUAUUAAAGCGAAAGAAAACGGGUAAGAUCGUAUCGCGAUAUAAAGUAUAGAAUCCCGAUUGUUGUUUUGGAAAUACACUGUGCAAUAACCACAUUUCAUAGUGCACGUUGCCCGGGUGUUGUCUUUACGCGGUGGAUGUGUUGUCUCAUUCGUUCGUUUGUUCUCUUGCUCGUGUUGUUCGUCGUAAUCGGUUAACAAUUUGGUUUUGAGAUUUCAUUUACUUUCAUUUAUUGUUGCUGUAAAUUCUUGCUGCAUCAACAGUGUUUUGCUUUUAACAAAUGGCCACAAUAGAUGGAAGACCGACGCAAUAUGGGAUUUCUCUUAAACAACUACGAGAGCUCAUGGAGCAUCGUGGUCGGGAAGGCGUAGUGAAAAUAAGCGAAGUUGGUGGUGUCAAUAAGUUGUGUGACAAAUUAUAUACAUCCACAAACGAUGGUUUGCGAGGAUCAAGAUCUGAUAUUGAACAUAGACGCGAAACAUUUGGCUCAAAUGUCAUCCCACCGAAGCCACCAAAAACAUUUUUGACUUUAGUUUGGGAAGCGCUACAGGAUGUCACACUCAUUAUUCUAGAAGUAGCUGCUUUAGUUUCACUUGGUUUAUCUUUUUACAAACCCGCUGACGAGGAUGCACCCUUACUACAAGAAGAAGAGGAUCACCAUGGCUGGAUUGAGGGUUUAGCCAUCUUGAUAUCAGUCAUUGUUGUCGUAUUUGUUACAGCAUUUAAUGAUUAUUCAAAAGAGCGACAAUUUCGUGGGCUACAAAAUCGUAUUGAAGGUGAACAUAAGUUUUCGGUUAUUCGUGGCGGAGAGGUUUGUCAAAUAUCUGUUGGGGAUAUUGUUGUCGGCGAUAUUGCACAGAUCAAGUAUGGCGACUUGUUGCCAGCCGACGGUAUACUUAUACAAAGUAACGAUCUAAAGGUCGAUGAAUCUUCAUUAACAGGUGAAUCAGAUCACGUUAAGAAAGGUGUCGAUGUCGAUCCCGUGGUACUAUCGGGUACACACGUUAUGGAGGGUAGCGGUAAAAUGGUGGUAACUGCUGUUGGUGUCAAUUCUCAAGCGGGUAUAAUAUUCACGCUGUUGGGUGCUGCUGUUGAUGAACAGGAAGCUGAGCUGAAAAAACGGAAAAAAGGUGCUGACGAUGGCCGUGCACCCGUGAAGAACAUGCACAUGUCACCACCCCCAACUGAUGGCAUCAAAUCGGAAUCCGAUGGCAAUCAUGUACAACAGUCUUCAUCCCCAGCCGAAGCUAGUCAUAAAAAGGAAAAGUCCGUACUGCAAGCGAAAUUGACCAAGUUGGCUAUACAAAUUGGCUAUGCCGGUUCAACAAUAGCUGUUUUAACUGUAAUCAUACUAGUUAUACAGUUCUGUAUGACAACCUUUGUCUUUGGAAACAAUCAAUGGAAAAAUACUUACGCGAACAAUUUAGUGAAACACCUGAUCAUCGGUGUUACCGUAUUAGUUGUAGCUGUUCCAGAAGGUUUGCCAUUAGCUGUUACACUGUCAUUAGCCUAUUCCGUAAAGAAAAUGAUGAAAGACAACAACUUGGUGAGACAUUUAGAUGCUUGUGAAACCAUGGGUAAUGCCACUGCCAUUUGCUCGGACAAGACUGGCACACUUACAACAAAUCGCAUGACUGUCGUGCAAUCUUACAUAUGUGAAAAAUUAUGCAAAGUUCUUCCAACAUUAAAUGAUAUACCGCAACAUGUCGGCAAUUUGAUAACAAUGGGUAUCUCAGUCAAUUCAGCUUACACAUCCAAUAUAAUGCCCGGACAAAAUCCUGGAGAUCUACCAAUACAGGUAGGCAAUAAAACUGAGUGUGCGCUUUUGGGCUUCGUACAAGGUUUAGGCGUGAAAUAUCAGUCGAUUCGUGAUGAAAUUACUGAGGAUAAAUUUACGCGUGUAUAUACAUUUAAUUCAGUGCGCAAGAGCAUGGGUACAGUAAUUCCGCGUCCAAAUGGCGGAUAUCGUCUGUUUUCGAAAGGCGCUUCUGAAAUAAUGCUUAAAAAGUGCUCUUUUAUUUAUGGCCACGAUGGAGUUUUGGAAAAAUUCACACGCGAUAUGCAAGAGCGCCUUAUACGUGAAGUCAUUGAGCCUAUGGCUUGUGAUGGCUUACGUACUAUUUCUGUAGCUUACCGCGAUUUCGUGCCUGGCAAAGCGGCAAUUAACGAAGUACAUAUUGAUGGCGAACCAAACUGGGAUGAUGAAGAGAAUAUUAUGACUAACUUGACAUGCCUGUGUGUGGUGGGAAUUGAAGAUCCCGUCCGUCCAGAAGUUCCUGAUGCCAUACGCAAGUGCCAACGCGCUGGCAUAACUGUACGUAUGGUUACUGGUGAUAACAUUAAUACUGCACGCUCAAUCGCUUCUAAAUGUGGCAUAUUGCGACCGAACGAUGACUUCCUCAUUUUAGAAGGCAAAGAAUUUAAUCGUCGAAUUAGGGACAGUAAUGGCGACGUUCAACAACAUUUACUUGAUAAGGUGUGGCCAAAGCUUCGUGUAUUGGCGCGUUCCUCACCGACUGACAAAUACACACUUGUUAAAGGAAUUAUUGACAGCAAAAUAAGCGAGAACCGUGAAGUAGUCGCUGUGACUGGUGAUGGCACGAAUGAUGGUCCGGCGUUGAAAAAGGCUGACGUUGGAUUUGCAAUGGGUAUCGCCGGCACGGAUGUGGCUAAGGAAGCUUCCGAUAUUAUAUUGACAGAUGAUAAUUUCAGCAGUAUUGUGAAAGCAGUUAUGUGGGGGCGUAAUGUGUACGAUUCAAUUGCUAAAUUCUUGCAAUUUCAACUGACUGUAAAUGUCGUUGCUGUAAUUGUUGCAUUUAUUGGCGCCUGUGCCGUACAAGACUCGCCACUGAAGGCUGUACAAAUGUUGUGGGUAAAUCUUAUUAUGGACACGCUUGCAUCACUGGCCUUAGCUACUGAACUUCCAACACCAGAUUUACUAUUACGUAAACCAUACGGACGUACUAAACCACUUAUAUCACGUACAAUGAUGAAAAAUAUUUUGGGACAAGCUUUAUAUCAGCUAUUUAUAAUAUUUGGAUUACUGUUUGUGGGUAAUAGGAUACUAGAUAUUGAAGAUGGGCGUCAUCAAGAUCUUGGUGCUAGUCCAACGCAACAUUUUACUAUAAUUUUCAAUACAUUCGUUAUGAUGACUUUGUUCAAUGAGAUAAAUGCACGAAAAAUACAUGGACAGCGAAAUGUAGUAGAGGGUUUGUUCACCAAUCCCAUAUUUUACACAAUAUGGAUUUUCACAAUGAUUUCCCAGGUUGUUAUAAUACAAUAUGGCAAAAUGGCAUUCUCCACCAAGGCACUAUCUCUUGAUCAAUGGUUAUGGUGCAUAUUCUUUGGUAUUGGUACGUUAGUCUGGGGACAAUUAAUCACUUCAGUGCCUACAAGAAAAUUGCCUAAAAUUUUAUCUUGGGGUCGUGGACACCCUGAAGAAUACACUGAUGCUAUGCAUUUGGGAGAAGAACGUUUCGAUUCCAUUGACUCUGAUAAGAAACCACGUGCUGGUCAAAUACUUUGGAUACGCGGACUGACACGCUUACAAACUCAAUUGCGUGUUAUUCGUGCAUUCCGGUCAACAUUGGAAGACUUGAACGAACGCCGUUCGAUGCACAGUCUGCAUAGCUUGCGCAGUCCACGCGGCACGAUACCCGGCUACCCGCUUUACAAUUCUAACCUGCUUAAUCCCAAUUAUGCGCAGCAGCAACGCAGCAGCAACAGCGCCCAACAGCAGCAGCAGAAAAAUAACAAUCAGUCUUACGGCGGCAGUACAGCAGCCGCAUUGAACUCUGACAUAACGUACAUCGAUGAAGAACCGCAGCAGCAACAGCAUGCAAAUCCUUUGAGCGGUACCAAUAAUGGUCGGCAACAGCGCUCGUCCAACGGUUUCUCCGAUGUGGCCUAUCAAAUACACCAACAACAGAAACAGCAACAAACUGAGACACGAAUUUAAGCUAACUCACUAACUAAUACUAAAAAACAACAACAACCAACUGACAAAAACUAAACAGCUAUAAAAAGAAACAAUAUCUUAAAGAAAGAAGACAGCCACACAGACAUACAGUACGCUACAAUACAAUAUAAACCCACGAACAUACGUCAACACUGCGUACAUACCAUAUCUGCAUGUGUAGUUAAGUUAAGACAACUGAUUUUUCGUGCAGACGUAACAUAUUAGCAAACGGCUGAACUUAACACACAAACAAACGUACUUAGCAAUACUACGUACAUAUAUAUUUAUACCUUACGUACAUUUAUGUACAUAUGUCAUACAAGCCAAGUUGAUCUUUCGACGAAGAAGAAAUGUGUGGUCACACUUAGUACUCACCUGAGAAUGGGUGCCACUUUGUUCACAUACUUGAUGGUUGAAUUUCAGACUUUCAGCUAAUUAUUUAUAGCAUACUUUUUGGCACAAUUCCAAUGGUAGUGUAAACCGCAAACAAAUUUGACAUUAACAACUUUUGUAUACGCUUUUGACUUGUAUCAACCAUACAGCUUUCCUUCCUUCGUUUAAUGCUAUGUUUCUAUUUAUAAGUUUCACAUAAGUUAAAAAUCUAAAAAACACCAAGAACAAUGUACACAAAAUAUAUAGAUAUUUGCAUGUUUUUUAUUAUUUUUUUUCGUACACUUUGCUUGACCGCUCUACCAGGAGGUUGUAGUUUAUUUUUGUUGAAAUUACGAUAGUGAAAGUUUCGCACAUUAAUUAUUGUAUUAUUUAGCAUAGAGACAAUGUUUAUAGAUUAUGUUUUAAAAACAAUUUUCUAUAUAAAACAGACAAUGUUUCCAGAUUAUAUAUUUUUAGCAACAAUUUACUAUAAAUUAACAUAUUAAAAUCAUGUGCUUUAGGCUUGCAGUAUUACGUUUAAUAAAAAGUUUCAAAUACUCUUUACAGUGGCGCAAUAAAAUGGCGUAAUAAAAAUGAAAAACAGUUGUUAAUACGGGGUACCCGUUUCCAUUUUCCAAAUUAAAUUUCCGAAUGAAACAACUACGAAACACCUUAUUCUUUUGUUUAAACAACACACAUGCCAGACAGUGGAGUAAUUUUCAAUAUAUAACGUCUCAUAGCUUAGCAUAAUACAGUUGAACUGCCAUGACUCGAAGAUCUACAUAAAUCGAACUCUUGAAUUGACAAUAGCAGUAAAAUUUCGUACAAAUUAACUGCCAUAACACGAAGUCUCACAAACUCGUAGUUUUUCAGUAGAUUGUGGAGCUUCGAGUCAUGAUAUUUCAUCUGUAUAUUUAGACAGGAUUUCACUUAUGCGUUGCCUUGGAUUUGCGUAAAUAUGUUUUUGGUGAUUUUUUGAAGCUCACCAGGCAUUCCUGCCAAAAAAGGCUGUGACCACUAUAGCUCAGAAGUGGAGGAACUGAAAUGAGAAACUCAAACGGAUUUCGUUAAUGUAAUGUACAAACUUGUAAUUUUAAUCGAGGGAAUACGCAAGACAAUUUUUUUUCGACAAAAUGGUGGCUUUAAAGAAAAAAUCGAUUUUUUGCCAUAAUUUUGGCCUUAAAUUGUAUAAAAAAAAAGUUUAACGUAAUUUUUAUGUAAUAAAAAAGCUUCGAUUAACGCUCUAACCGGCCAAUUUUUUUUCGAUUAAAAAAAAUUAUUUUUUUCAUAGUUUUUGGCUAAGUAAAACAUACGUUAAUGUUAAAAAGUAAAAAAAAUCUAAACUUACCUUCCAGGUGAGAAAAUAUGUUGACCGCCAAAAGGCGGACCUGCCUGGUAACGUAAUAAAAAACUUUUAUUAGAGGAUGAUUUUACUUGAAAUUUUAUUCAGUUCUUUUUAUUGUUUUGAUGAUAAAUUUGAAAACAUUUGUUAUUGUUUGAGAGGCACAUAUUUAAUUUACACUUAGUACAAUACAUUUGUGUUUCGGACUUACAUCCCGGAAGUUUGCAUACUUUUUUGCCACUGCGGCUCAAAACGUCAGGCAUAUGUCCAACUCCAUCAAAACGAACGUCAUCGGGUGGAUCAUACGAUUUUUUCAAUUUUUGUACUUGUGGACUUAGGCUAUGAGGUCUACCGACAGCUCUUUUGGCGUUAGUCUCCUCAUAACGACAAAGUACAUCAGCCACUUCAAUACGAAAAUUUGGUAAUUUUUUAUGAUAAAUAUCUUUACAGUUAAUUCCAUGAAUACGCUGAAAGAGGUAUGAAUUUACUAUCGACAUAUCAAUUAAGUGAUAAAAUAAACGCAAAGUCCAUUUUUUGGUCUUAACUCUGAUGUGAUAGCGACCAUGGCGGUUAUAUUCUUUAAUUAUAUUAGGACAGUCUACGUCGACGUAGGAUUUAUUUUUCCGAUCAUAAGGGCAUAUUUUUAAGGGUUGUGAAUUGCUGUUUAGUGUUUUAAAUGGCUUAAUUCCAGCAUACGUGGAUACCAGUCGUACAUAUUUUGUAUCCUUCCAUUGAACACAAGAUAUGUCUACUCCAAAAGCACGGCCAACAAACUCCUCUGAGUAUCCACGUUCUUUAUCUUUUAAUUCCACUUCCUUUGUCAGCUUGCAUUUGGGUAUUCUGUUAGAUCGGACGGUUCCUAAUGCAUAAAUUCCUCUGCUUCGUAAAUAAACAAAAAGUGGCAGAGAGGUAUAAAAAUUAUCAAAGUACAAUAUGUGGUUUUUGAAAUCUGGAAUUGUACUUGACAACCUUAUGACUACAUUGGCUUUUGAUCCUAAAUCAGGAGUUUUAGGUAUUACUUUAUUAUCGCCAGCUCCUUUGUAUACUUCAAAUCUGUACGAAAAGCCAUUCGAGUCACAAAGAACAAAAAGUUUCAUGCCAUAUUUAUGGGGCUUUGCGGGCAUAUAUUGUCGAAAUUUUGUCAACAUUUUUGUUGAACACAUUGCAACCGAGCUGGUUUUGGCACAGAAUCAAAUUUCAUAUUCAAUCUAUCAAUAAGUGGACGAAUUUUAUACAGUUCAUCAAAUCCUGCUUCCUGUGGUUUUUUCAUUUUAUUGGUAUCAUUGAAGUGAAGAUAUUUUCUGAUUGAAAAUAACUGUUUGAAAGUCAUUGCGUUUCUAACUGACUCAAAAGAAUGUUUGGACCAGUAACUCUCGACACUGGAAUAUCGGUACACAGACAUAUAAAUCAAAAUUCCGAUAUAUUUUUUUAAAUCACACGAUGUCAAAGUAAAUUUUGUAGAAACAUCUUGCUGUUUUGCAUACAAAUUGCUCUGAUACACAAUUUCAUUUUGCAAGUCAUCGUUGAAAAAAUAAUUAAAGCAACGGAAUGGUGUGGUUAAUUCUUUGAAUUGUUGCGGCAAUUCCUUGUCUCCUUAAAAAACUACAUAAUUUUUUUUCAAGUUCAAGAAAUUUUUUUUUUCCAUAAAAUUUUUCUGAACUCUGGAUUUUGGAGGGAAAUAUCUUUUAUAUUUCCGCUAAACCCUCCCGCAUUGGAUACUACUGGACUUUCACCAGUUUCAGUUUCUGGUAGAGGGGAUCGUGCCCUUUUUGUUUUUGUUUUCCCAGGUUUUGAUGGUAAAGACUCGUCAGACUGCUCCACAUUGUUAUGCACUUCUGCCUGAUGUUUUUCUGAGUUUCUAAAGAUAUUUUCAGAAACGUUGUUAUCUGCAUUAUCCCACUCUUCUUGAAAUGUACCAAAGUCUACGUUUGGUAAUUGAAAGUCUGGGUUUUCCAAAUAAUCAUUAUCGUCGUCGAAAUCGUCUUAUGAUUAUCUGCACCAUCCUCCCAUUCAGCCAUGAGUUCUUCAAUUUCCUCAUCAUUUAAUUUUGAGAAAUUAAAUUUUUUUCUUUGUGAAAACAUUUUCAAACUGCUAAUUGUUUCCCAGAAUGUUUAAAAUCCAAAAAUGUUUAAAUAAAUAUGAAAUUAUAAAGAAAACGGACUACAGCUCGUGUAUGCAAAAUUUGCUUUUAAUGGGCAGAUCCGCCUUUAGACGGUGUUCAAUUAUCAUCGGCUACAAACAAAGUUUUGCUAAAAACUUAACAAAAAAGCACAAAACAUAAAAGAAUAUAUAUUUACCUAUAUGAGAAAAUUUUUGUUCACGCAAAUCAUGUAUUUUAACGAUUUUAUACUAUUUUAAAAACUCCACUUGAUACACAAAUAAUUAUUUUACACACUUUGUCAAAAAAUUGACUUUAGCACUCAACGAUUUGCAAUCAAAUGACGAAUGCUUACUGCAAUUUGUUUUAAUAAGAGAAUUGUGUUGUUGUCUCCUGAUGUUUACCGUUAGAACAGAGAUUUGAAAUAUAAGAGCUGCAUAGCAACAUAUUAAUUAUACACCGUCUAAAGGCAGGCUCGCCGGUUACAGGGUUAGGUACUAGAAAAUAUAGUUCAGAAACCUGUGUAAAACUUUGCGGUUAAUCGAAUCUUAGUCACAGACUUUUAACAACACAGUUUUGAGAAAAACAAGUCGCCAUCUACCGGCCUACUACUUUCAAAUGACUUCAAAAAUAAUCGUCGGUUUGAGUUGAAAUUUUCAGCGAGUUCACUUGAAUGCAUGUAAAUUACGAAAAUGAAAUAAAUGAAAACUAGUUGUGAACCCUUGAUAUGUCAUGCAAUAAUUAUUUGCAAUAUGUAAUACCAUGUGAACACGGUUGAUUGAGAUAUAAGCAGAAAUAUAUAUUUUAUAUGUGUAAAUUAAUUUAAAUGUUGGCUUGCGUUUUUUGUUUUGGUAAUUGUACUUAAUGCAUUUGAAAAUUUACAAUAUAUACGAGACGUAGUUUUGCUUAAGCGGUUAGCUGGGUUUCUUUCAUUCAUUAUACUCUCGCAACAUGUUGCAAAGAGUAUUAUAGUUUUGUUCACAUAACAGUUGUUUGUAUCACCCAGAAAUAAAAGAGUUAUAUAUGGGGUUAAUAUAUAUAUAAAUGACCACGAUGGCGAGUGAAAUUGAAAUCCGGAUGUCUGUCCGUCUGUCCGUGCAAGCGAUAACUUGAGUAAAAAUUGAAAUAUCUUAAUGAAACUUGGAACACAUCUUCCUUGGCACCCUGAGGAGGUUGCUUCGAAGAUGGGCAAAAUUGGUCCACUGCCACGCCCACAAUAUGGCGAAAACCGAAAACACAUUAAGUGUCAUAACUAAGCCAUAAAAAAAGUUAUGAAAGUAAAAUUUGGUACAAAGGAUCGCAUUAGGGAGGCGCACAUUUGGAAGUAAUUUUUUUAAGUGGGCGUGGCACCGCCCCAAACAGAUUUUUUGUAUAUAUCUUGCAAACCAAAAAAACUGAAUUAAACAAACUUUCUGCAGUUGUUUCUUUUAGCCAUUUCCUUAUACAGUCCAAAAAUGAAAGAAAUCGGAUAAUAACCACGCCCACCUCCCAUACAAAGGUUAUGUUGAAAAUUACUUCAAGUGCGUUAACUCACUAACGGAAAACACCAGAAACACUAAAUUUCACAUAAGCAAUGGCAGAUAGGAGCUGCACUCAGAUUUUUUUACAAAAUGGAAAAUGGGCGUGGCUUCGCCCACUUAUGGGUUAAAAACCAUAUCACAGGAACUACUCGACCGAUUUCAAUGAAAUUCGGUAUAUAAUACUUUCUUCACACCCUGAUGACACGUGUGUAAAUGGAUGAAAUCUGUUCCCAACCACGACAACUUCCCAUGUAACUCAAUUUUGAAUUCCAUCUUAUUCCUUCACUUUGUAAUAUAUACAUAAGGAGCCAAUGAAGAUAGCGAAAUAAAAUUUUACACAAAUACUGUAUAUGAUCCGUGCAAUCACUUGGGAGAAAAUUGUCGAAAUUGGACUAUAACUUUUCAAUACCCCGGAUAUCGAAUAUGAAGAACUCGGUGUCCCAUGGUAAUUUUCACCGAAAAUUUCGGUAAAUCUCUCAGAUAUCUCAAUUUAACUCAGAGGAAAUCUUUUUCUUCUAAUAGUGUGUCUUUGCAUCAGAAAUGGUUAAAAUCAGGUAAUAACUUCCCCUAGCUUUCAUAUAGCUAAUUAUUGGAAUUUCAAAAAUACAUUGGCCUUAGUAGCUUAUAAAUCAGUUAAUAUGUGAAAUAUCUUAGCCAAAUUAAAUGAGCAUAUAAUCUUAGAUAUAAUGUAUGUUGGUGGUGAAAAUGAGGGAAGUCGGUUCAGGAUCUACCUCAGCCUAUAUACUAUAUAACGAUUUUAGUUUUUCUAUUGGACUUUAUGCCGAAUAUAAUUGUGUGUUAUCUUUAAAAAAUAUAGCAAUAAAUUGCGAAAGUAUAAAAGGUUCGGUUGCACCCGAACUUAGCCUUUCCUCACUUGUUUCCAUCCAAAUUUGCGCAAAAUCGCUGAAUAACUUUUCGAGUUCCAGCGGCUUAAUUUUUUUUGAUAUUUUUGUAUAUUUUGAACGUGGCACUAUUUAAUAGGACAAUUGUUUCCAAAUUUGAAAAAUUUUAAUAUUUUGAAAUUCUGAUAAAUUUGAAGUAUUGAAACGCACCUAACCGCUUAAAACCAUAAAUAGGUGCUAGGAUAUUUCGUACACAGUUUUCUUUGUAUUACAUUGGGAUAAUACAUUAUAGAUAUUAUUAAAAAAAAGUAUCAUACUAUACUGUGUUCGUGCCGUUCUUGUAGUCAAACUGACUGUGUAUCUUAGUAAUAUUGUUAAAUCAAGAUUAUUUAAUGUAUCUAAUACAACAGACUGUGUAUAAAAAUCAUUUAUGAAUUUUUAAUUUUGAAAAAUAAUAAAUUAUUUGCAAAAAUUAAAGUUUUCAGUUCAAAUAAAAUGAGACUCAGUGUAAAACUUGGCAUUAACAUGGCUCCUACAAAGCGUAGUACUUAAAAAAAAUAUAAUCAAAAGCAAUGCCGUUGCCAUCCAUUGUUGUUGUAGGCGCUAAAUUCCAUAGUUAGUUAGUCUACAUAUAUAACUGUAUUUUGUUAUGCUUUUGCUACUCAUUUAUGCAAGAUUAAAAGCAUGGUUCUAUAACCGUAAAUUAUUUUCUUUAAAAUAUUGCCCAGGCACAUUUUUAUACGCUCGCAACAUGUUGCACAGAGUAAAAAAGUAAUGUAAUAGUAAGUAGUAUAAAUAGUUUUUUUUUCUAUCAAUCAAAAAAUAUGCUGGAACACAUAACAAAUGGGAAAAUAGCAAAUAAAAGCAAUUACAUAUUUAGCAAAAAAAUAAUUGGCUUUACUAUUUAUAUAACGUAUAAUUUAGUCACUAAAAGUAUUCACGAUUUCUUAAACGCUGUUCAAUACGGUUUGUGUACGCUAACUACAGUUGGGGUAACAUCUUUGGUAGUAGCACCAAUCAAAGUUGUGUUGGCAUGUAUACUAUAUACUAUAAUAGUACAUAUGGUCAAGUGAAUAGCGCAUUGCAUUUACAAAUGUACAGAGCUUACGGUUGACGAUGACGUUGACGAUUUUGACUGAAGUUCUAAAAAUUCCAGUUUAAGAAGUAAUAUUUGGGAACGUAUAUUUUUGUGAAAUUCCCACAUUUACAACAGUAUAUUUAUUAUAUGUACAUAUGUUAGGAAAACGAAACAUCAGCAACAUUUGACUUGAAAAUGGUUUUAUAUAUAAUUUUGGAUUUUUCUUCUUCAACUGUAUUAGUGCUUAAUGUUUAACAGAACUUAUUUUAAAUUAUUUAAAUAUAAAUUAUCGUUGUGUAAAUUUUUGUAUUAAUUCUGACUAUAGUUAAAAUUUUUUUAUACAUAUAUGCUUACCUUUUGCUUUCUUUAAGUUAAUAAAAUAUUGUAUGUACAUAUAUUAUUAAAAAAAAAAUAUAUAUAUAUAAUAUAAAUAACACAAUAAGUAACAAACAAUCAAUACAAGAUAAACUACAAUGCACGAAUAUAAUACAUAAAUAACUGAUGACAAAACUAUUUUUAUUACUAAUUUAUAAAAUAUAUAUGUACAUAUAUACAUACACGCAUAUUUGUAACGCUUUGUGUUUGAUUUUCAUUACUUAUAAAUUAAAAUGUAAUACAAAGCUGCAAACGCAUACAGGAAGUUAGUGUACACUGCUUUGUAUUUAUUUUUCAAUAGUUUCAGUGGCAAAUUUCUCGAAGCACAAUGUUUUCAAAAUUUUCAAAAUUCGCUUUAUGGACUAAUUUGUUGGACAAAUGUUCUGAUUAAUUAUAUAUUUUCGCCGUGCAAUAAACCGUUAGCAUUUUUUUAUAUUAGCUCACAAGCUAACGAUAGCACUUAAUAUACAGCUGCUAUCAAAAUAAUAGGAUAAGAUGUGCAUAUGCACCUCUUUUCGUUGUGGCAGUUAUAUUAUUAGUUUUAUGUGAGUUCUUUUUCACUUAAUUUGUUUGAAUAUGAUUUCUUGUCCAUGCCCGUUUGGACCUCAACUCGCUUCUUCUCCGGCGUUUGACGCCGACGCCUGUCUAACACUCUGUCCAUUUUAAAAGUGCUACCCUUUACGGGGCUGCACCUGCGAAGGUUUUGAUUUUUCACUGCCUUUCGCGGCAGACGGUUCCGUCACCGCCGGAAGUGACCCUCCCGGACACUUUCCGUUUUAAAAGUCGGUUUCGACUUUCCUUCCUCUCUUCCGUUUUCUUAUGGUUAAUAAACCGUUUUACAUCCCAAAACUUACUGGGCUACGUUGUAGGGUCAAUGCAAAGGUUAUCAUGAAGGGGCCAAUGAAGUGGCAAAGAAUUUGUUCGCUGAUAACACCAUAUGAAUGCGUGAAUACUUCACUCAGUCUUCUACUCAUAAUUCGAGCGAAAAUUUGUGGAUAAGCAAACAAAAUGAAGUCGCUAAUUAAUUACAAAUAUUACGUUGAUUUGGAAGACGGUAAAAGCAUCUUGGAGCUCAUAUCACCCCAAAGGUGUCAACCGAUGUUGGAUCCAUGACAAAGAGUUGUGCUGCAGUUUUAUGAAACAAAUGUGGUGCCACAAACUAUUAAUUUCUUUUUAUUAUUCAGUUUCUGUUUUCGUUUCUGAUUCUGUUUCAACUUUCAUUAUUUUUUUAUUGUUUCACAUAACAUGAAAUUACCCUUUUGUUUAUAUUUUUUUUCAGUAUUCAUUAGUAAGUUUAAAAAAUAAUAAAUUCGAAACAGUCAACUAACAUUUGCACUAUUUUUUUCUGCAUUAUCCAUGAAGUCAAUUUGCGCUCCUAAUAUUUUGAUAACAGCUGUAUUUAUACAUAUGUACGACAUAGAAAUGUCUCGUCAGUAUUUAAUUACAUAGGUGUAGCUUUAUUAUUAGCCUAAAAAUGUGCAAUGAUUUUAUAUGAAGAAAUUGCUAUGCGCUCAAUAACAGUUAAUGCUAGUAAUUUCAAUAUUGAACUGCUAAGCUAAUUUUAGUAUGCUAUCAAUAACACAUUUUGCACAUUAUAAGUUUUAUGCAGGUUUGUAUGCUGUUUCAUUAAUAUUUUCGUAUAAUUAAAUACAUAUGUAUAUUAAAUAUUUUUCGUUGGAUUUUUCAUAACAUCCUUUUGGUCUGCUUCCUAACAUGUGGACGAAACUUAGUUAUACACAACUAUAUUUUAAAAGGACAUACAAAACUUGAACAAGGUUAUAGGCGGUGAAUUGCAAGAGCGCUUGAUUCCGGUACCCUACAGCAAGAGCAACACUGAUCAAGC
Molecule: RNA transcript, 13555 nt
Organism: Zeugodacus cucurbitae (melon fly)
Lineage: Eukaryota; Metazoa; Arthropoda; Insecta; Diptera; Tephritidae
Gene: PMCA
Gene name: plasma membrane calcium-transporting ATPase 2
Exons: 17
Source: RefSeq, a predicted model, not a curated record